CGGCCGUUCACUCCGACGAACGACAGCACACAGGCCGCGCAUCGGCUGACAGCUCGCGCAGGCGCCUUGUGCCGAUGACGAACCGCGCGAAGCAAGGAAGGCCGACGACCUCCGGAUUAAAAACGAUACCCGGCCGUUAGAAACGUUCGAAUUCGCACCCGCAAAUGACGAGACGAUUCCCCCCGAUACGACACCCCCACGACGAGACAGGGGGGGGCCUCCACCGGGGUAUAAAAAGACGGCCGAAACGGAGGAACAGGCAGAUCUCCUCCGGCGAGCCGAGCUCGCCUCCGUCGACCAGAUCUUAGAGAAACCAGAGGUCUACGUACAGUGGCCCCGGCCGGAUAUUACCGGCGUUCUCACAGAAAUCUGGAAAACUCCAAAUUCCUUUUUCCCACACGGCUUAAGCAAGGGGUUAGGGCUAUCCCGCCUCCGCCGGACAUUACCGGCCCGCCGAAAUCCUACCCUCCCGUCGAUUCCUAGCACAAGGCUACCGAGGUAAGGAAGCAUCCUGCCCCGGCCGGACAUUUCCGGCUAGCCGCCGCCAAGGAACCGAUAUUCCUCCCCGAAUAACAGACGCGCGCGUCCCCCCACCAUCAGACGCACAUACACGAGACUGCCGACAAUCGCGAGACGCGCCGCAGACCCCGUACACGUCACGCCAAGCGAGGCACGGGAUUCUUUUCUCCGAGCGCGAAAACAACGAUCUCUUUAACAACAAGUAAACACGUUUUCGGCAAUCUGCGACAAGAACACGACGCGGACAUCUUACCUUUGUUAAUAUAAUAAACCAUCAUUAUCUCAAUAAAUACAGUUAAAACAGACUAAAGUAUUCGAAUGUGUCUCUGACCUAUUUCCCCUAACCCCGUCCACUCGCACGACCGUAGGGGAAGAACAGGUCGUUACAGAUUUAAUAACAACUUGAUCUUUAUCUAUACAUAUUUUAAGUAUAUCAUUCUGAAAACAAUAUUUAAAAAUAUAAUUAGUUGCACUUAUUACAUAAUAUGUUGUUUUCAAUUAAAAUCAAGAUCACGUAGAAUCAGUAAUGUUUUCAAUAAAUAAUUACAAUUUAUUAAAACUUGUUAUAACUUGUGUUUUAAUAACUAAAUGUUAUUAAAACUAAAAUCAUAAAAAUAUAUCAGUAUUUAAAAUUAGUAAAUAUUAUUUUAAUUUUGCUCAUCACGUCUGCAAGUAGUUUAUCACCAUCUUCUUCAUUAAAUUUUAUAAAAUCUGUUAUAUUAUCAAUAGGUAGAGAAAACCCAUGAUCUUGAGAGAAUUUAUCAACAUUGCAGUUUCUUUUUUUUGUAUUAACUCGUUACAAAUGGUUAUUAUUUUUUUUUGUAUAAAUUGCAUGUCACACUUUAAACUCACUAUGUCUGUUGCUAGUGUUUCUAGACCUAAUAAUUUAUAGUAUGUAAUUCAUAUUUUCAGGUAAUUCAAAUGAGAUAUUUAUGUAAAUUAUUAUUAAUAGAGAUUAUUUAUGUACAUUACCUAAGUGUGAUUGCUGACUAAUAUCCAAAGUUUUAUUAGAGUCAUUUUUUAAAAAAAUUGUACCAUUGUUUACUGAAAUUGUUAAUUAAAUGUGUAUUAUUUUAAUUAUAAAUAAAAUUAUUUAAAUAAAAUAAGCAUAGUAUACUAGCAUUUACCUGAAGUAGUUAUAUUUUGUGUCUUUUCUGAUUGAUUGAUGGAACAUAUAUUAUCACUCGUGUUUUCAUACAAGACAAUUGUAUUUUCUGAAAUUAUUUUAUAACAAAAAUUUAAAAAUAACGUUUUAUAUUAUAGCAUUUUACAGAAUCUAUGAAAAUUAAUUUAAAAAAUUUUAAAAAUAAGAAUAUUACAUAAUUAAUAUAAUAUUUAUAUUAUAUAUAAAAAAGUACCUAGUUGUUCUGAAUUAGAAGUAUUAUUAUCUAAUACUUUCUGUUUUUUUUUUAAAUUCUUUGGUAAGUUUAUUUCAGACAGAAUGUUUGGUUUUUGAAAUUUCUUUUUUUUCUUUAAUUGGGGCACAUCCUCUUCAGAUAUGUUUUCUAAAAAUAAUUAAGUGUUAUAGUUAUAUGUUAGAAAGUGUGUGUGUGUGUGUGUGUGUGUGUGUGUGUGUGUGUGUGUGUGUGUGUGUGUGUAUGUGUGUAAAAUGUCAAAUAAAUGAGAUAGAUAAUCCGUGAGAAUGAGAAAAUAGAGAAUAAAAAAUGUCAAGAUUAUAGAUGAGUGAACAAUAUCAGUUAUAUAUCUCUGUGAGUGAAAAUAGAUGAGAAUGAUUGUGUUUACAGAUGACAACUUGAAUUUAUACCCAAA
This 2289-nucleotide long non-coding RNA is filed under the name Monomorium pharaonis (pharaoh ant). RNAcentral's name for it is "uncharacterized LOC118647412". The record is from RNAcentral. Lineage: Eukaryota; Metazoa; Arthropoda; Insecta; Hymenoptera; Formicidae.